Molecule: long non-coding RNA, 6116 nt
Filed under: Zea mays
Lineage: Eukaryota; Viridiplantae; Streptophyta; Magnoliopsida; Poales; Poaceae
Description: long non-coding RNA (ZMAY_LNC003119)
Source: RNAcentral
CAGCUCCUUGCUCCGGCACGAGGACGUACUCUCCGUCAGCAAGGUUACAGUCUAUCGAAAUGCAAUGAACAUGUAUGUCAUGAUUAUGCAGGAUUUAAUAAUAUUAGGCUAAGAGAAGAAAAACUAAGUUAAUGAGUAACUUAGGGUUUUUGGGUCAUACGUGGCUUUUAGUGGUUUAUGCUGAUCAUUCUAGGUUUAGGUUUUGUUAGGGAUAGGCAUAGUGAAUUGGUAUUGCCUUUAUAUAUUUCAGUGGAUAAGUUAUAAAGGGUUUUAGGAUGACACUAAUUCCUAUCAUUCAUUUUUUCCCUUUCUUUAUUUUCUAUUUAUGGUUUCUAGUGUAGGUUUGAACUACAACAGUGGUUUAACUUUUUUCCAAAAAUUCUGUAAAAAUUACAGUGGGUUGCCAUUGGUCAUUAUAGCCUGCUCUAGGAAUUUGAGGUUUAAAAUAAAAAGGCUAUGCUUUAGACAAAAAUUGUGUAAAAUGGGCCACUUUGCACUACAUUUCUUAAUUAGAGGUGGGUUCUGUCCUAAGGGUUAUUUUUGUUGGCAUCUAACAGUAAUAAUAAGCUUCUGUGCUAGAGAUCACAGAAAGCUAAGGGUUGGUUAUUUAGUUGUGAUUUUCUAAAGUUUAAUGCCAAAAAGGCACUUUCUACUACAUUGUUAUUUGAAAAAUGUCAAAUAGCAGAUUUCAUAUUUUUCCUAAGUCUUUAAUAACAAAACAUUAAUUAUCCCAAGGGUUGGGGUGUUUUUACCUUGGGGUUAUUUUUGUAGGAUUUUUCUAAGUUUUCCUUGUUUUCUUAAAAUAAAAGGUAUCCUAUUUAUUUUAUACUAAACCAGGGUAUCAUAGAUUUUUCUAGUGAACUACACUGAAUAAGUGUUCUAACAAAAAUAGGAGUGCCCUCUGGUUCAUUAUUUAAAUCACCUUUUCUAUUUUUCUUAACCUUAAGCAUAUUGUAAAAUAAAUAGCAAAAACUAACUUAAUGGGGUAGACAGAGAGGUUUAGCAUUUUUAAACAGGUCAGUAGGUGGAUAUAAAGUUCUCCAAAUUUUCCUAACCCCAGUCAAAUAGUGCAACUAUUUUUCUUCCUAUUAUUUAGCUUUUGGCCAAAACAAUAAUUAAAUCAGAACCCUAAAGUUUUCUAUAGCACAUAGGGGUUUCAUAUUUUUCCUAAGUAGUUUACAUUAUUUAAAGUCUGACAAAAUUGGUUUGACUAAAUUUGGAUGAAUAAAACAGAAGUUAUGGAUUAUUCAAGUUCUGUCAAAAUUUAAAUCAGAUUUAAAUAAGGGUUUCCUGGAAAACUACUUUGCACCGAGGACCCUGGGUUAUUUCCAAACUAACUCUCUCAGUUAUACCCCCGCGUUACUAUUCAUUUGAGUCACUGACAUUUCGCAAAACCCCCCAGGCUUCUUUUCUUCUCCCCCGUGGUCCUUCCCUAGGUUUAAACAGUACCCGCAAGAAAGAAAAGGGUGGCGCGGCUUACCGGCGGCGAGAGAGGUCCGGCGAGGGGCGGGGUUGGCUCGGGGAGGCUUUGGCGGUCACAGCGAUGUACGGCUCAACGGCGGGGAUGGCCGGAAUCGCUCGGUCCACGCGCGCAGGCGGGUGUCCUCGUCGGCGGCGGGUGUGCCGGCCAAAUCACGGCGAUCUAGUUCAAUCCAUUGGCACGGUGAGCUUCACGGGGUGAUGUAGAGGCUAGCUGUGCCUUGAAUCGAAAAAUGGCGCAGUGGCUUACCCGGUGUACGCUCGCCGGCGGUCGGAGGGAGUCCGGCGACCGUGGACUGGCCUCUCCGGCGAAGCAGACUUUGAUUCCUCGCUCGGGGAGCUUCACCGAGGUGUGCUCAGUCUUCACCGAGGGUCGGACGGGGUUGGGAAAGGCUGGGUUGGCCGGUCUACGGCGACAGGGGCUCGGGUGGCCGCGGACACGCCGUGCACGGGCACGCGACGGUGAGUUUGAGCUCCGGUGAGGUUGAGCGUGCGCGGAAGGGUAUGGUCGACGCCUGAGUGGGCUUUAUAGGCGCGGGCGCGGGCCAUGGCAUCGGCUGGCCUUUGGCGCGACGCGGGGCGCGCGCGGGCGUGCUCUGGCGUGCACAGAGCGCGUCGAACACGUGUAGGUUUUCUUCUGCCCGUGUUCCACAGCUCGCCCAAGUCGCAAAUGUGCGAAUCUUGGCAAAAAUCCGGCGCGAGUCUUUUCCUGGCACCUAGGGUUGUCUCUCAUCCGUGAGUCGCCAUGGCAGAUAUGCCCUAGGUAGGGAGAUCUUUGGACGCCAAAUCAGGUAUGUCUCCCUGCCCACCUCGCGACAAAAACGAUGCCAAGGCAUGCCAAACGUCAAGGUUUCGGGCUCAACUUUUUCCAGGGGGUGCCCUAGGUGGUAUGCCACAUUUUUGGUAUAGAACUUAGGUGGUUUUGGUGCCAUCUUCAAGGUGAACACGAUGGAUCUUUAGAUUAGGUGUAGUUUUUGACUUAGAGAGAAUUAGAGGGCUCUAGCUCUUUCUCUACUUAGGGAAUGGAUUUGGGGUUUCUUAAGGGGUCUUUUAGCAAUGUUUCCUCUCUAUAAUUGUAGGUUAAUAAGUUACUUAACUUUGUGCCAAAGAUUUGGUCAUGACUAGCACCUUUGCUUAAACUCUUCCCUUUAACCAAGGUGCUUAGGAGAUGGGGUUCAAGAGAGGUCUAGGGUUUACUUCCCCCCUUGUCCAAAGUGAUAAUUGCACACAACUAGGGUAAUGCUUUUGGUCAUUCACAUCUCUAGGUUAAAACCUAGCCUACAAGGCUCUUACACUUUGCUCCUUAAGUUUCUUUCACAUGUGAUCAUAGUCAUUAGUGCAAAGGUAUGCCCUAGCCAUGGUAACACCUGGGGUGUUACAGCCCUCCCCCCUUAAAGGAAUCUCAUCCCGAGAUUUUUAGGCAGAGUCCUCUAGAGGGGUGCCACGAAGGCACGUUGGUGUGCUACUCUUUCUUAUACUCAAGUUUCUCUUGUUAACUGCUCUUCGAAUGUCAUUCUCUUUGCAACUUCAGAAGGAAGUCCUUUUUAAGUUAAAUCCACAACUUAGACUAUCCUGGUUAUCUAAGUUUUUCUUAUAAUUGUAGUCAAAGGGCUGGCGGGGGUGGGGUUUGGGGGUUACGUACCAACUCCUUUGGGCAGAAAGUCGGGGAAAUGGGAGCGUAGAAAAUCCUCAGUCUCCCAUGUAGCCUCUUUUACUGAAUGGUGACUCCACUGAACCUUAUACAUUCUGAUCGAUUUUGCCCGUGUUGAUCUCUCCUUCUGAUCCAAUACCUUGACGGGGUACUCUUGAUAGGACAGGUCUGGUUCUAUCUCAAUGUCUGGUUCAGGUAGUACUUCGGUAGGUAGGCGAACACAUUUUCGCAGCUGAGAUACAUGAAAUACAUUGUGAACUGCUGACAUGUGAGGUGGCAAUUCCAAUUGAUAGGCUACGGGCCCACAACUUGCUUUGAUCUCAUAGGGUCCUGUAACACCCGGUUUUAAAGGACAAAGCCGGGUGCAUCUCAUACAUGCGCCAAGAAGACAACAUAUAUAAUAACAGAGUGUAUAGAGAUAAAUGUCAUAAAACAUCAGAGUAUUUAUUACAUAGCGGAAGACUUAUUACAAAAUAAUGAGUAUAAAACGAACUAAGGAUCGUCGGCGCCAAUGUCAACUGAGAAACGCCACCUAGAUCAGAUCAAACUCCUCGCCUUGUGGCUCCUCCUGAACCACCUGUUCUUCUCCUGUGGGGGGGGUGUGAGACAGCAAGAGUGAGCUCACAUACGUUCAUCGCUCAACAAGUCGUGGGGAAUAAUGUGGCAUGAACUCACCAAAGGUGGGAGUUCAUGAAGUGUAAGGCUGAUCAAUGAAAUAAAGGCUGAGGCUGAGCAUUGCUUUUAUAAGUUGGUCAAAAUUUUAUUAGCAAUUACUAAGUGUAAGUAAAUACCAAACCUUAAUAAUAGUAAAGAAAAGUAAUAGUAAAAUAAUCCCAAAUGCGAUGCAAAUGUCAAAUUGAAUUUAAGUUCCAUAAUUAAUCAUGUGAGGGUCCGAGCCGCUCUUGACCGUGAGCACGGCUAGUAUACUAGUUUUACACUCUGCAGAGGUUGCGCAUCUUUACCCACAAGUCGUGUAUCCCAUGUUGCCUGGGUUUGCAAGGCCCUUAGACACUACCGAGGUGAAUGGCUAGGGAUCCACUACGAGGCCUUUACAAAGUUCCACUAGCUUCCGAAAACCCGCUACAGUUUAUAGGAAGAUCCAGUACAGGGUUCCUGGCUGACAGCCAUCGCAGCAAAAUCAACCAGGGACCUCCCCGCACUGACCUCUCCCCUACUGCCCUUGCCCCUUUCGGGUAAGGUAGUCUUCCACUAGCUUUCCUAAUUAGUCAGCCAAGGGCGUCCCAUUAUACCCUUGUGGUAGCACUGUUUUCCCGGGUGGUCGCUCCAUGUUCCCAUUAAUUUAAUGAUCUUAACAUGAACAAUAAUAAUAACAAGUUAAUAACAGAAUAAUCAUGAAUAGUGUAUCUCCAUACCCAAUCCACAUAAAGCAAUAGCAAGUACUACCCAAAAAUAUUUCAGGGGUGAACAAGGUAUAGAGGUAAUCAAAACUGGGGUAACAUAAAGGCUCCCAUCAAAAUUAUCCUAUGCAGAUCAUUAAAAUUAAUAAGAACAUGGCUGGGAAAGUAAGUGAUCAAGGGCACAACUUGCCUGGCACUUGAGAAUCCAGGUACCAACUUGCUUUUCAGAUGACACACGUCCUCGCGCUAGUCGUAGCAAUACAAGCAAACAUGAUAUAGAUAAAAUUAACAUCACACCAAACAUAAGAACAUACUGCAUAAUAAUGAUAUACUCAGUGCUACGAGACUAACGCAACUCGAACGGAUCAAAUCGGAGUUAAAACGGAGGAGUUAUGAUUUUCUGAAGAUUCUUGUGUGUUUUGUACAAGAUUAAAUGGGAUAUAAAUUCUAAUGUGACUUUCAUAUCAAAACAGUAGUAUUAGAUGAUAUACAAUAAUAUUACAAAAUUAUAGGAAUUGGAACGAAUUAAUUUGGGCUUAAUAUGAAUUUUCUAUGAAUUACUCAAGUUUUAUAAUUAUUUUUAUACUCAAAAUCAAUUUCUAAAUCUAUUUUCUGGUUUCAUUUAAUUCCUGGACUGGGCCUCAAUUUUCAGAAAGCUCAAGGGUCUCUGCGAAAGAUAACCUAGACCCAGGGAACAGUGGCCAAUGGACGGCGGGUUGGUUUCCUGAAAGCAGAGGGGCUCUUUAGCAAUAUUGACCCGCGAAGGGGUACAGUGGUAUUCUGGCCGUUGGAUUCCUCCUGGAUGGCCCGGAUUAGAUCUUACCCUCAGCACAAUCAUACCACGCUCUGACCCGAUGGAUUAAGGAUCAACGGCACACAGUGGUCCGCGUCUACUCUUAACUCAAGCCCACAGAUCCCGAUCGGACGGCCCAAUCUUCAUCAAGCGCUACACCUAAUCUGAACCGAACGAUACACGAUCCACGGCCGAGGUGCUAUCGAGACCCGAGUCAAAUCUGACCGCACGAUAUGGAUCUAACGGCCCAAACACCGUCUUCUCCCCCCCGGUCAUCCGAGCGGCCAGGAGCAGAGCUCCACGGCGCGCUCACCGGCGAGCACCCGCUGACGGCCCAGUACCCCGAAAGCCACCCCGAAUAAUUCCACAUGAAGUGCACGGUACUGUGAACAGGAGGAGGCAGAGAUUACCCGCGUUUGAACGGUGACGAAGCUCGGCCACGGCGACAGGUGCUCCGCGGCGGCGCUGCUCGCACAACGAAGAAAUUCCCGGAGCCUCAGCUGAUCUCUCUCCGAUUAACUCCUUCCAGAGCCUUGCUAGGGACCGGACUACCUACGUAUGGCUCAAUCGUAGCCCGACACACGCCGCCGACGUGGAUCCGCCGCGGCGGCUGAUUUCUCUCCCACGCACCCUACGUCACGGGUCUCUCCCACGCGGUACAAUGUGGCAAAAGAUGGCCUCUGGAAAUCGAAUCAGGAGAAUGCCCUGCGCCUUGGGUCUUAUGGGGGAGGGCAACACCGGUUCGGUCGAAGUUGCCAUGGACGGCGCGCGGAAGAAUCGCCGGUGGGUUCGGCUGGGUAGUUGCGGUGCCUGGCCACAAGGCCCCACACUCCAG